GUCUAUAGCCACACCACCCUGAACGUGUCUGAUCUUAGAAGCUAAGCAGGGUUGGUCCUGGUUUGUACUUGGAUGGGAUUCCACCUGGGAAUACUGUGUGCUAAAGGCU
Molecule: ribosomal RNA, 109 nt
Filed under: Propithecus coquereli (Coquerel's sifaka)
Lineage: Eukaryota; Metazoa; Chordata; Mammalia; Primates; Indriidae
Source: RNAcentral